GGCUCUAAGUCAUAUAGUAUCAAUCUCGACCAUAGAUGUUGCAGGAUGAAGGAAUAAUUAAAAGUUUUAAGGAGGAAGAGAUUAAAAGGAAAUUUUCCUUUUCCUAUAUCCAUAUUCCUUUUCAUUUUUCCAAUAUUUUUUCGCAUUCUCUCUACACUCAUACACACCCUUUCUCUAUAUCUUCCUUCCUUAUCAUUCUCUACAUCUCUUUAUAUAUAUAUAAACCCAUCAAAAAUAUUUUAUCCCUAAGUUAAUUGACAUCAAAUUCAUCUUCGUUAAUACCUUUGGAAAUCAAGAUUCACUCAUUCUUUUUGUAUCCUUGUUUCCUCUCUCUUAGCUUAAGGUUAGUGCCCUAACCUUUUGAAAUGAAAGUUAAUUUGCAGCGCCCAAAGCCAAAUAUGCAGCACUAGAGGCCUUAUUUGCAGUACGAGGCUGAAAAACUCAAUCCCACAUAAAAAAUGAGUGGUUUUCUUGGCACAUAUUCCCAUACUUCCAAGAGACUGAGAAUCUGCAUAGUUCAGGUACGUAAAUAUAAUUGGACAAUUUUCAAUAGCAAUUUGAGCUUUAUCAACUUUUAGUUUAAAUUUUACAUCUUUUCUUUCGUAAGUCCAAUUUAGCUUAAACUUUAAGAUGUUAGAAAGAGUAUGCUCUGUACUUACCAUUAAAUUAUAUCUUGUUCGUCAGAAAAUUUAGUUCUUCAAGUAUAACCUCUAAAGACUCCAUUAAAUGGUUCUUUUAUUUUUUAGAGAUAGUGAAGGUUAGGUCGGGAAGGAUUAUUUCCUUCCUUCCUAGAGCAACUGAAAAUAUACACAAAGAUGUAAACACUUCUCUUUCUUUCAAUUUUAGUUACAAUAAUUUUUCUUUUUAUGCUUAGGAAUGCCUAAUCAUUCUAGCAUCUUAAAACAGUUAGUCUAGAAAUAAUCUCUCACAGAUUGCAUUCCUGUUAUGAUUAUUUCAUAUUCAUUUCAUGUUCUUCAAAUGUAACGUUCUUUCAUAAUCAAUAAAAGAUUAUAAUUUAUAGGGUAAAUUGCACAUGUUUGCCCUCAUGAACCAAGAAGGGGAGAUUGAAUUGGUGAAUUAUAGAAAGAUAAGAGAAUAGGAAUUUUGAUGAUAGAGGAAAGAAGGAUAGAGUAGAAAGUGUUAAGGGAUAUGACCAUUUUGAAUUUAAAUACCUUAUAAUAUUAUCUUAUGGAUUAUAUUUUUUGUAAUAUAAUCACAACAGCCAGUUUGGUUCCCAAACACGGGUGCUACCAACCAUAUUAUACUUGACAUAUCUACUUUGACAAUAGUUGAUGAUUAUAAGGGAUGUGAUCAACUUUAUGUUGAUAAUGGUCAGGGUCUUCCAAUUGCUCUCAUUGGUAAUGCUAUUCUUCGCUCAACAAAUGGUGAUCUUAAAUUGAAAAAUAUAUUUCGUGUUCCUAAAACAGUUAAAAAUUUAUUAUUUGUUCAGCAAUUUACUUAUGACAAUAAAUGUUAUUUUGAGUUACAUUCUAGCUUUUUUCUUGUGACGGAUCAACUAACCAAGAAGGUGCUACUCCAUGGGCCUAGUGAUAAUGGCCUUUAUGUUCUUCGUCCUUCAUUAAAAAGGCUUCCAGUUUACAGUUCCAACUCUUCAACAAUGGCAUGAAUGCCUUGGUCAUCCAAACAUGAGAACUAUUUUUAACAUUAUUAAAACUUUAUGUUUUCCAUGUUCUUCUUUUACCUCUAGCCAUUGAUCUUCUUGUUAUUUAGGAAAGCUUGCUAGAUUACCUUUAGCUAGUGUAGAUCAUAAAAGUAAUGCUCAUUUUGAUAUUAUAUUCUCAGAUGUUUUGGAUCCUGUCCCAAUUCUAUCAUGUUUAGGGCGUCGUUAGUUUAUUCUAUUCAUUGAUGAUUUUACAAGAUUUACUUGGGUCUAUUUUCUAAAGAAUAAAAGUGAAGUUUACUCUUGUUUUCUAAAUAUUCAAUCUCUUGUAGAAGAUAAUUUAAUGUUAAGAUUAAAUCAUUUCACUCAGAUUGGGAUGGGGAGUACCAAAUACUCAAUAAAUGUUUUCAAUUUGUAGGAAUCAUACACCGUAUUGAUUGCCCAUAUACACACGAACAAAAUGAAACUUCAAAAAGAAAAACUCGACAUUUGAUAGAUACUUGAUUGACAUUAUUAGCUCAUGAAAAUGUGGCAUUGAAAUAUUGAAACUAUACCCUUACUAUGAGUAUUAUGUCCAUUAAUCAAACUAUAAGUCCAAUUUUGCAAAAUAAGUCGCCAUUCCAAACACUUUUUGGGACUAAUCCAAAUUAUUUGCUUAUGAAACCUUUUGGCUGGGCUAUUUUUCCUCUAAUUUGGCCCUAUAAUCAACAUAAGUUUGCCUGUAGAUCCACUCCAUGUAUUUAUCUUGGUCAAAGUCCACCUUCUAGUGUUUAUCAUUGCUUAGAUAUAACUACUAGACAUAAAUACUUAGGAUGCCAUGCAAAAUUCUUAUGAGUCUCUUUUCUCCUGCAAGUCAUGUGUUUUUGGUACAGGUUUAAACAGAACAUAUCCUAAUCCUUGGCUACAUGUGAUAAGCCAUUCAUCUCAUUAGGACUCUGGAACUCCUUCAUGUAUAUGGUUAUUAAUCUUAUCUCUAAUUUGUACUUCCUUUCCAUUAUCAUCUAUCAACCAUAAUAUUUUAAUUUCUUCAAACUAUAUCUCCAAUCCUAAUUUAAAUACACCAUUACCCAUUACAUCUAAUCUAGAUUCGAACAACCAAAUUGUAUCCUACUCUCCUAUUCCUUUUCCAACUGCUACUUUACAUCCACCCGAUAGUUCAAAAUACCUUGUUGACCUCACCUCUUCCAAUAAUUCUAACCAAUCACAACGUAUCCAUCCCAUAUACUUGGACAAACAAUCAUGCAGAAAUGUCAAGCUCAUAUAUCUACCUAAAUAGAUAUAAAUUAUUUAACUAUUGAAUCAAAUACAUAAAAUCAAGCUAAGUCAUAUGCUAAAUGUAGGGAAGCCAUGUCAAGAGAAAUUGAUGCUCUCAUGACAAAUCAAACUUGGGUCUUGUUACCUCGACCUUCAAACAAGAACAUAAUCAAUAAUAAGUGGAUAUUUCGAAUCAAAAGAAAGGCAUAUGGAAGAAUUGAAUGUUUCAAAGCCAGACUUAUGGAUAAGGGCUACACGCAGGAUUAUAUUUUUUGUAGUUAUCUUGUAAUCUUCUUGUAACUACUUAUAGUUACUAGUCAUUACUUCUUUAUAUAGAUACUUUUAACUCUUUCAAAGUAAAUAUACAAAAAUCCUUUCUCUAAAACCUUUACAGAAAGAACACAAAGAUUUAUAGUGGUUCGGAUAUUAACCAACUCUACGUUCACUCUCCAAUCUCCAAUUGGGUAUUCACUAUACUCUCAAUCAAUUACAAGAGUUUUCACAAGCUCACUCCAAAUUUAGUAUUUAGGGCUCACACCAAAUCUUCUAAACUUGUGUUUUAUGGCUUACAAGAAUUUUACCUAGGCUAACUCUCAAAUUCAAUUUCAAAUGUUUAGGCUAACACUUAGAUCUCAGUAGAGCACUUAAGCCCUUACAACAACUAAAAAUUGUUAAAAUUGAUUGCAAAAAGAAAGAAAAUUAAUGCAAAAUAAGUAUAAGCUUUGGGAGUUGUUGAUCAACCAUUAAAGGUCUUUUGAGGUAGUUUUUAAAGCUUACCAAUCUCAAGGAUCCAUUAUUCAUUAGUUUUAAAAUUUUCACCAACUUUUGCUUUAAGACAAUGCAUUAGAUGCACUAUCAGAGUGCAAAUCAUAGUCAUAAAUCUUGAAAAGUCUCUAAUGGCUAUCUAGCAUGACAAAGAGACAUUAGCUACUUCAGAUGUAACCUUGGUGAUUUAUAACGGUCACAAUAUUUAUGAAUUUCACAGUCGAGCCUUCCAUGGGCGCGGUCGCAAUUCUCAGCUUUAGGAACCCAUUAGUCUCUGCCUCAUAAGUCUUUAUGUUCAUGGUCGCGCCUUUUAAGGUGCAGUCAUGAUUUUCCAUCCUCAAGUCUUCAAUAGCUUCUAUCCACAGACUUGAACCUUUCACGGUUGCGCCUUGGAGGGUACGGUUGCGAUUUUUAGAUAGACUUGGAUUUUUAACCUUGAUCUAUACUAAACAAACAAUACUUGAAAAUACAUUAGAUCAAGACUCGAUUUGAGUGUCAAGAUCAAAAUUAGAGACUUUAGCCUUAUGAAAGAUCAUCUAGGCUAACAUCAUUAGGGUCCUCAAUUUGCCCUAUGUAUCACUAUAAUCCCUGAAUUUUAACUUAUAUUACAAAAUGUUCUGAAUUUUAAUCGAGACUACAUCAUGAAGAUGGGAAUGAUACUAUAUUAAACUAAGCGUUAUAUGCCUUAAUUAAAGUUUUUCCUAUUUUAUUAUUUGAGGAUGAUAGAAUUAUCAAGUUUUGUCCAGUUUGUUAUUUGAGGGAAAAUUAUAGGGUAAAGGGAAAGUAAUCUUUACAUAGCAUGCUGUACGUUUAUCCUUUGGGAAUAAAAUUAUGAGAAAGAAAAUGGAUUAUUUUGUUCGAAAAGCUAAAAGUAUUCUCCACUUCCUCCAUUUUGAAGACAACAUAUAUAUUUAAGGGAAAAUAAAGCAUUACUUUCCUUCCACCUAUUUCAAGACAUUGAAAAAUCAAAUCCCAUAACUUUACUUAUCACGGUGAGGCGAUUAAGACUAAUAAAAAUAGGAGGAGGUUGUUGUUAGAGACUCCACUUCUUAUUCUUGAGCUGCCAUAUUUUUUUUAAGUUUACUAGAAUUAUAAUCACUGAUAACAAUCAAUUUUGAAAUAAAUAUUUUUUAUUUCUUCAUAAAGUGAGAAAGAAGUGUAAGACAGGAGAGAGAAGAAGUGGAAGAGAUGAGAGAUAAAAAGUGUUAAGCUUGGUAAACAUUAAUGAGCUGAUAUGUCCAGUUUAAUGAGCUAGAAUUCUUUUUUCUUUUAAAUAGUUGAGGUAUCGUGCCAGUCAGCUUUUGAUAAGCAUCAUAAUACACAUAUUUUCAUGCCCGAUUGUUUACAUUUUUUAUGCAUGAUUAUCCUGUUUUAUGCUAGAAUCAACUGUCUUUUGUUUCCUUUCUCAUUUCAGGUCAUUUUCGAAGGACAUCAUCAGUAAUCGAGGGACAUACGUGUGAUUACGGACCAAAAUCCAUCAAAUUAGGCGAGGAGUAGCACCCAGAGGGUUGAGCACGGCCUGGACUCCGGCCGUGCUGAAUUACCAAGAGGCUAUCCCCAAUUGUGCCAUUUCAGCACGACUUCCGUAGCCACCACGGCCUCCAGCACGGCCUCUGAUGGAUCAACACAGGCUUGGGCACGGCCUGGAAGGAGUCAGCACAAUAGACUCCACAGAUUCAGCACAGCCUGAACUCCGGCCGUGCUGAAUCAUCACAGCCUGGACUCUGGCCAUGCUGAAUUAACUAUAUAGGCGAUUUUGAAUUCUUUUUGAAGGGGGACGAUUUUUGGACUCAAUUCCAAGACACACACUUAAUCAAUUAUUUCCUAUACCUCAAUUGUAGACCUUGAGAGAUAAAAAUUCAUCAAUUGAAGGGGGGAUUUCACUUGUUCCAACAUCAAAUUGAAGAUCAAGACAAACUUUGGGAGCAUUCAAGAGGCAACUAGGGUUUGAGAUUUCGAAUUUUGCAAUUUUAGGGUUUCUCAUUCAGCUUGAAAGAUAAGGGUGUACAUGCCUUUAAUUUAUUUUUCCUUAUUUUGUUCCCUAAUUGCUUUAACCAUGAACAUGAGUAGCUAGAUCUUUUGAAUCCAUUAGGGUUCACCUUUGUUG
This 5747-nucleotide long non-coding RNA is filed under the name Ricinus communis (castor bean). RNAcentral's name for it is "long non-coding RNA (RCOM_LNC000325)". Lineage: Eukaryota; Viridiplantae; Streptophyta; Magnoliopsida; Malpighiales; Euphorbiaceae. The record is from RNAcentral.